RNAcentral lists this ribosomal RNA (244 nucleotides) under uncultured bacterium. RNAcentral describes it as "partial 16S ribosomal RNA". It matches the Rfam family "Bacterial small subunit ribosomal RNA", at positions 528 to 772 of the family's 1533-position model. The record is from RNAcentral.
GAGGAUGCGAGCGUUAUCCGGAUUUAUUGGGUUUAAAGGGUGCGUAGGCGGAAGAUUAAGUCAGCGGUAAAAUGUCGGUGACCAACGCCGGCCGGCCGUUGAAACUGAUUUUCUUGAGUGGGCGAGAAGUAUGCGGAAUGCGUGGUGUAGCGGUGAAAUGCAUAGAGAUCACGCAGAACUCCGAUUGCGAAGGCAGCAUACCGGCGCCCGACUGACGCUGAGGCACGAAAGCGUGGGGAUCAAA